Molecule: long non-coding RNA, 780 nt
Organism: Osmerus eperlanus (European smelt)
Lineage: Eukaryota; Metazoa; Chordata; Actinopteri; Osmeriformes; Osmeridae
Exons: 2
Source: RefSeq, a predicted model, not a curated record
AGGGGAGGAGGAGAUAAAGGGGAGGAGGAGAGAGAGGGAGGAGGAGAGAGAGGGGAGGAGGAGAGAGAGGGGAGGAGGAGAUAGAGGGGAGGAGGAGAUAGAGGGAGGAGGAGGAGAAACACCUUGUGACUCCACACUGAGAAGGAGUUCAAUAGAAAUAAAACUGAUAUAUAUCUGCUUUACAGCUCUCUCUCUCCCCCCAUCUUUCUGCCUCUAUUUCCCCUCUCUCUGUUUCCCUUUCUCUCUCUCCCUCUCUCUUUCAUAUCAAUUUCCUGGCAGAGUUUCUUUUAGUCUUACAUGUUCCUCUUUCUCAUAUUUAGCAAGUGUGAACUUCCCACUGCCGCUGCACAACAGCUGAAGAGAGCAGGAGCUGUGUGUGCAUGUGUGUGUGUUCAGCUGUGUACACCUGUGUACACGUGUGUGUGUCGGAGGGGAGGAGCUGUGUGUGCAUGUGUGUGUGUUCAGCUGUGUACACGUGUGUGUGUCGGAGGGGAGGAGCUGUGUGUGCAUGUGUGUGUGUCGGAGGGGAAAGGGCUGUGCUCGAAAAGACAACAGUGUGUGCUUCUGCGGAAAGGGGAACAUGGAGACCUCGCUCUCGUCGCUCCUGUCUAGAUGUCAUUAGAGUGUGUUUCCACUUACAGAGAUGUGAUAUCUGCCUCGCUGAUGUGCCUUAUUGAGCUGUAAAUGUAUCAGUACAGCUAAAUACAUGCUGACUCGCUGUGUUAUGUGUCAAUCUCAUCAGCAUCAUGUUUUGUCUCAUUAAACUGACUGUCCAGAACA